RNAcentral lists this ribosomal RNA (221 nucleotides) under uncultured bacterium. RNAcentral's name for it is "partial 16S ribosomal RNA". It matches the Rfam family "Bacterial small subunit ribosomal RNA", at positions 118 to 340 of the family's 1533-position model. The record is from RNAcentral.
UGAGCAAUCUGCCCUUCACAUCGGAAUAACCAUUGGAAACGAUGGCUAAUACCGAAUACGACUUCGGAUCGCAUGAUCUGAAGUGGAAAGCUCCGGCGGUGAAGGAUGAGCUCGCGGCCUAUCAGCUUGUUGGUGAGGUAAUAGCUCACCAAGGCGAUGACGGGUAGCCGGCCUGAGAGGGUGACCGGCCACACUGGGACUGAGACACGGCCCAGACUCCG